ACUCCUACGGGAGGCAGCAGUGGGGAAUAUUGGGCAAUGGGCGCAAGCCUGACCCAGCAACGCCGCGUGAAGGAAGAAGGCUUUCGGGUUGUAAACUUCUUUUCUCAGGGACGAAGAAAGUGACGGUACCUGAGGAAUAAGCCACGGCUAACUACGUGCCAGCAGCCGCGGUAAUACGUAGGUGGCAAGCGUUAUCCGGAUUUACUGGGUGUAAAGGGCGUGUAGGCGGGGAAGCAAGUCAGAUGUGAAAACCGCGGGCUCAACCUUUGGCCUGCAUUUGAAACUGUUUUUCUU
This 294-nucleotide ribosomal RNA is filed under the name uncultured bacterium. RNAcentral describes it as "partial 16S ribosomal RNA". It matches the Rfam family "Bacterial small subunit ribosomal RNA", at positions 335 to 643 of the family's 1533-position model. The record is from RNAcentral.